RNAcentral lists this ribosomal RNA (462 nucleotides) under uncultured bacterium. Its description in RNAcentral is "partial 16S ribosomal RNA". It matches the Rfam family "Bacterial small subunit ribosomal RNA", at positions 28 to 507 of the family's 1533-position model. The record is from RNAcentral.
GACGAACGCUGGCGGCGUGCUUAACACAUGCAAGUCGAGCGGAAAGGCCCUUCGGGGUACUCGAGCGGCGAACGGGUGAGUAACACGUGAGUAACCUGCCCCAGACUUUGGGAUAACCCUCCGAAACGGGGGCUAAUACCGGAUACGACACAGCUUCGCAUGGGGUCUGUGUGGAAAGUUUUUCGGUUUGGGAUGGGCUCGCGGCCUAUCAGCUUGUUGGUGGGGUGAUGGCCUACCAAGGCGACGACGGGUAGCCGGCCUGAGAGGGCGACCGGCCACACUGGGACUGAGACACGGCCCAGACUCCUACGGGAGGCAGCAGUGGGGAAUAUUGCACAAUGGGCGGAAGCCUGAUGCAGCGACGCCGCGUGAGGGAUGACGGCCUUCGGGUUGUAAACCUCUUUCAGCAGGGACGAAGCGUAAGUGACGGUACCUGCAGAAGAAGCGCCGGCCAACUACGUG